Long non-coding RNA from Coccinella septempunctata (seven-spotted ladybird), 938 nucleotides. RefSeq lists it as uncharacterized. NCBI's taxonomy places the organism in Eukaryota, Metazoa, Arthropoda, Insecta, Coleoptera, Coccinellidae. The record is from RefSeq and is a predicted model, not a curated record. The transcript has 2 exons.
AAUAAAAUAAAUGUUAUGGACAAUUGCCUUAAUUGGUUGAUUAGGCAUUCAACUAUUUCUUUCUUCGGAUUAACUAUGGAAGGUAACAACUAGAUAUCGAUCCUUUAAUCUGGAUGACAGCAACUUAACUCUUAGAGAGUGAAUAUUUCCAGAAAUUUUUCCCUAUUGAAAGGGAGUAAAAUUUUGUUUGCACUCUAUAAAAGGAGAUACUAUAUUUAUGAAAUUCAAAAAGAUUUUUCAUUUAUAUUUCGUGCAAAGUUCUAUGGAAAAAAAGAGAAAUAAAUCACUGCAUAUUUGAAGAAUAGGUGAAUUUAUUUGAUUUAAACUAAUGAGAAAAAUAAGGUAAACACGUGUUUCAGAUAACAGUUUGUAUUUAUAUCAUGUUGAAAGAAAUAAACGAGUAAUAUCGAUUAUCUAGUAUUGCCAAACUAAUUGACAGCAAUGAAAUGAAUGAUGUAAAUAGUUCAUGGAAGUGAAAAGGUACUGAAAACCAAUCCAGACUCAUGCAAUGUUACAGAAUGAACCUACUGUGGACACACCUGCAAAGGUAGUGGUCAAACAAGCACGUGGAGGAACUAUCAGAGAGUUAUCGAGAAAUUUAAGACCACUAGGUGGGUACACAUAGGAUGGAUUAGCUCGAUCCGACAGUUCAUUACUUGUAAUAAGGUCCUUUGAUGCGAAUUCGGAGAGCCUCAUUAAAAAAAACUCAAUUUAUGGUUCCUUGUAUUUCACCAAGCUGGUUUCAAGAAUCAGCUGCGAGAUAGCUAAUUAACCAUUAGUGUAAUUUGUGUGUUUAACGUAGGUACAUCAAAUAGAGAUGUAACAAUAACAAAUUAUGAAAAAUUGGAGUUAUUAUAUCAACCUCAAUUAGAGUGUGACAACUAUAAUUGUUAAUAACGAAUACCAUAAGCGUAAAGCAUUAAAAGCUAUGUACCUAA